RNAcentral lists this transfer RNA (83 nucleotides) under human oral metagenome. It matches the Rfam family "tRNA". Rfam says of the family: Transfer RNA (tRNA) molecules are approximately 80 nucleotides in length. The record is from RNAcentral.
GAGAGGUGUCCGAGUGGUCGAAGGUGCUUGACUCGAAAUCAAGUGUACAGCAAUGUACCGUGGGUUCGAAUCCCACCCUCUCC